UGAAAAAUUGAUUUGAAUUUUGAUAAUUGUUGGGAUUUUGAUAAUUGUUGGGGUUUUGAUAAUUGUUGGAGUUUUGAUAAUUGUUGGGAUUUUGAGAAUUGUUGGGAUUUUGAGAAUUGUUGGGAUAAUUAGAAGAAUUGUUGGGAUCCAUUUCACUAAAAAAAAUUAAAACUUCAAAAGAAAGACUAAUUAGAAAGAUAAUAAUA
Molecule: long non-coding RNA, 206 nt
Filed under: Trifolium pratense (red clover)
Lineage: Eukaryota; Viridiplantae; Streptophyta; Magnoliopsida; Fabales; Fabaceae
Description: long non-coding RNA (TPRA_LNC011603)
Source: RNAcentral